AACGAACGCUGGCGGCAUGCCUAACACAUGCAAGUCGAACGAGACCUUCGGGUCUAGUGGCGCACGGGUGCGUAACGCGUGGGAACCUGCCCUUAGGUUCGGAAUAACUCCCCGAAAGGGGUGCUAAUACCGGAUAGUGUCUUCGGACCAAAGAUUUAUCGCCUUUGGAUGGGCCCGCGUUGGAUUAGCUAGUUGGUAGGGUAAAAGCCUACCAAGGCGACGAUCCAUAGCUGGUCUGAGAGGAUGAUCAGCCACACUGGGACUGAGACACGGCCCAGACUCCUACGGGAGGCAGCAGUGGGGAAUAUUGGACAAUGGGCGAAAGCCUGAUCCAGCAAUGCCGCGUGAGUGAUGAAGGCCUUAGGGUUGUAAAGCUCUUUUACCCGGGAUGAUAAUGACAGUACCGGGAGAAUAAGCUCCGGCUAACUCCGUG
This 433-nucleotide ribosomal RNA is filed under the name uncultured bacterium. RNAcentral describes it as "partial 16S ribosomal RNA". It matches the Rfam family "Bacterial small subunit ribosomal RNA", at positions 29 to 507 of the family's 1533-position model. The record is from RNAcentral.